ACAUGCAAGUCGAGCGAGGACUUCGGUUCUAGCGGCGGACGGGUGAGUAACGCGUGGGAAUGUGCCCUUCUCUACGGAAUAGCCCUGGGAAACUGGGAGUAAUACCGUAUACGCCCUUUUGGGGAAAGAUUUAUCGGAGAAGGAUCAGCCCGCGUUGGAUUAGGUAGUUGGUGGGGUAAUGGCCUACCAAGCCGACGAUCCAUAGCUGGUUUGAGAGGAUGAUCAGCCACACUGGGACUGAGACACGGCCAGACUCCUACGGGAGGCAGCAGUGGGGAAUCUUACACAAUGGGGGCAACCCUGAUCUAGCCAUGCCGCGUGAGUGAUGAAGGCCUUAGGGUUGUAAAGCUCUUUCAGCUGGGAAGAUAAUGACGGUACCAGCAGAAGAAGCCCCGGCUAACUCCGUGCCAGCAGCCGCGGUAAUACGGAGGGGGCUAGCGUUGUUCGGAAUUACUGGGCGUAAAGCGCACGUAGGCGGACCGGAAAGUCAGAGGUGAAAUCCCAGGGCUCAACCUUGGAACUGCCUUUGAAACUAUCGGUCUGGAGUUCGAGAGAGGUGAGUGGAAUUCCGAGUGUAGAGGUGAAAUUCGUAGAUAUUCGGAGGAACACCAGUGUCGAAGUCGGCUCGCUGGCUCGAUACUUAC
This 644-nucleotide ribosomal RNA is filed under the name Paracoccus sp. J364. RNAcentral describes it as "bacterial SSU rRNA". It matches the Rfam family "Bacterial small subunit ribosomal RNA", at positions 53 to 744 of the family's 1533-position model. Lineage: Bacteria; Pseudomonadati; Pseudomonadota; Alphaproteobacteria; Rhodobacterales; Paracoccaceae. The record is from RNAcentral.